RNAcentral lists this ribosomal RNA (498 nucleotides) under uncultured bacterium. Its description in RNAcentral is "partial 16S ribosomal RNA". It matches the Rfam family "Bacterial small subunit ribosomal RNA", at positions 899 to 1397 of the family's 1533-position model. The record is from RNAcentral.
ACUCAAAGGAAUAGACGGGGGCUCGCACAAGCGGUGGAGCAUGUGGUUUAAUUCGAUGCAACGCGAAGAACCUUACCUACCCUUGACAUCCUGCGAAUUCUGAUGAAAGUUGGAAGUGCCGAAAGGAGCGCAGAGACAGGUGCUGCAUGGCUGUCGUCAGCUCGUGUUGUGAGAUGUUGGGUUAAGUCCCGUAACGAGCGCAACCCUUGUCCUUAGUUGCCAUCAUUUAGUUGGGGACUCUAAGGAGACUGCCGGUGAUGAACCGGAGGAAGGCGGGGACGACGUCAAGUCAUCAUGGCCUUUAUGGGUAGGGCUACACACGUGCUACAAUGGGGCGUACAGAGGGAAGCCAACUUGCGAAAGGGAGCCAAUCUCAGAAAGCGCCUCGUAGUCCGGAUUGGAGUCUGCAACUCGACUCCAUGAAGUUGGAAUCGCUAGUAAUCGCGAAUCAGCAACGUCGCGGUGAAUACGUUCUCGGGCCUUGUACACACCGCCCGU